AUGGCUGCUAAUGUGUGCAAUUCCGUUGCGUCUCUGAAAGAAGUUCCUUUAAGUCGACGAUCCAAUUCAGAUAAAUUGGCAUUAAAACAAUCAGGACCUCCAAGACCAAAAUUAAUAAAAAAGCGGUCGCACGUCAACAUUCUGUACAAGAGGCUCAAGAAGAAGGACAUUAAUGCAGCAGUCUUCAUCAAAAGAGCCCUCGAGAGCUUGACAAGCAGUGUGCAGACCAUUAGAGACUCUGACCAGCUGCAAGGGCCAUCAGGAACCGACAGACCAAGGACGGCUUUGACAGAAGAGGCGAAGCAGAGGCUGUCUGAAGAGGUCUACGACACCAUCCUGGCUCACACCAAAGCGAGGUUCUCUUUCACUGGCCACCUUGUGAGUGCUACCUUAGUACAAGGAAAUAUGUUUGAAAGGUACUGCCAUUCAUUUCCUGCUGAUGCUCUGAAUGCCUCUGUGAAGGCAUAUCCCACGCUGAACAAGGCAAAGCUCAAGACGGAGCUGUCUCUGAUCUAUGAGAAUCCUGAAUCAAGGCUUGCUGUGGUGCACUGGCACUGUACCAGGUUAUCAUGAGCUACAACCUCCAGGAGACCUUCUCUGAGACUGUGAGUUUGUUGAACAUUCUCAUAACUACUCCUAUGACAACAGCUGAAGCUGAGAGAUGUUUCUCAACUUUGAAAAUAAUUAAGACAUUCCUGCGAAAUUCAAUGGGCCAGGAACGUCUGAAUGCACUGGCCAUGCUCUCCAUGGAGAGGGAACUAGUCCUCAACAUGCGUGAUUUCAAUGAGAAAGUCAUUGACCGCUUUGCUGCACUGAAAGAGAGACUAGCAAAGUUACAGUACAAGUAAUCUAGUCUCUCUCUUUCUGUCUCUGUCUCUGUCUCUCUGUCUCUCCCUCUCUCUCUCUCUCUGUCUCUGUCUCUGUCUCUCUCUCUCUCUCUCGCUCUCUCUCUGUCUCUGUCUCUCUCUCUGUCUCUCUCUCUCUCUGUCUCUGUCUCUGUCUCUCUCUCUCUCUCGCUCUCUCUCUGUCUCUGUCUCUCUCUCUGUCUCUCUCUCUCUCUGUCUCUGUCUCUGUCUCUCUCUCUCUCUCUCUCUAUGUCUAUGUCUCUGUCUCUGUCCCUCUCUGUCUCUCUCUCUCUCUCUCUCUCUCUGUCUCUCUCUGUCCCCUUCCCCUGAGGAUGGACACUGGGUUACAGCGGCCCGAACCCCCCCACCCCCCCUUCCAGUGAGGAUGGACACUGGGUUACAGCGGCCCUCACAACCCCACACCACCACCCAACCCCUUUCAAGUGUAUAUUCUAUAUAGUUCUCUGCAAACCUAUGGCGGCAUAAUGCCUUCAGUGUGUAUAUUGUAUAGUCCUCUGCAAACCUAUGGCGGCAUAAUGCCUUCAGUGUGUAUAUUGUAUGUAGUUCUCUGCAAACCUAUGAUGGCAUCAUGCCUUCAGUGUGCAUAUUGUAUAUACAUGUAGUUCUCUGCAAACCUAUGGUUGCAUCAUGCCUUCAGUGUGCAUAUUGUAUAUACAUGUAGUUCUCUGCAAACCUAUGGUGGCAUCAUGCCUUCAGUGUGUCUUGAACAACCACACAUAAAAGGUUGCACAUAUUAUGUUGAUAUUUUAUCGUAUUUGUCUAAAUGCAUACUUGACUGUAGAUAGAUUUAUGAGUGAAGUUACCAACACAAUAGAUUGGCCGUAACACACUCACCCCUUUUAGAAUCCCAUUCGGUAACACUUUAUAAUAAGGUGCCAUAAAAAAUAGCAAACUAGUCAUUACCUAACCCUUUGUUAAUAUUUGUUAAUUGUUACUAGUUAAUAGUUUUUUCAUCAUUAAUCAAAUAUUAGUUGUUUGCAUACAAUCUGUAUGUUAAUGUUUUAACAAAUAGAAAACGAUCUAUUAACUAAUAUUGUAUUAAUAUUCAUUAAUAGUUAACUAAAUGUAUUUUUGUCACUAAUUAACAGUUAUUUCUUACAUUAUUUAAAUGUUAAAUGUUUAUUUACAAACUAUAUGUUAAUAUAAGUUAAUGACAUAUUAUUAUUUAACUAAUUGUUAUUAAACUGUGCUUCUCCC
Molecule: long non-coding RNA, 2063 nt
Organism: Gadus morhua (Atlantic cod)
Lineage: Eukaryota; Metazoa; Chordata; Actinopteri; Gadiformes; Gadidae
Source: Ensembl